UAGGGAAUCUUCCGCAAUGGGCGAAAGCCUGACGGAGCAACGCCGCGUGAGUGAUGAAGGUCUUCGGAUCGUAAAACUCUGUUAUUAGGGAAGAACAAAUGUGUAAGUAACUAUGCACGUCUUGACGGUACCUAAUCAGAAAGCCACGGCUAACUACGUGCCAGCAGCCGCGGUAAUACGUAGGUGGCAAGCGUUAUCCGGUAUUAUUGGGCGUAAAGCGCGCGUAGGCGGUUUUUUAAGUCUGAUGUGAAAGCCCACGGCUCAACCGUGGAGGGUCCUUGGCAACUGGAAAACGUUAUUGCAGAAGAGGAAAGUUGAAUUCCAUGUGUAGCGGUGAAAUGCGCAGAGAUAUGGAGGUACACCAGUGGCGAGGGCGACUUUCUGGUCUGUAACUGACACUGCUGUGCGAAAGCGUGGGGAUCAAACACG
This 429-nucleotide ribosomal RNA is filed under the name Actinomycetes bacterium. Its description in RNAcentral is "Actinobacteria bacterium partial 16S ribosomal RNA". It matches the Rfam family "Bacterial small subunit ribosomal RNA", at positions 355 to 776 of the family's 1533-position model. Lineage: Bacteria; Bacillati; Actinomycetota; Actinomycetes. The record is from RNAcentral.